RNAcentral lists this long non-coding RNA (628 nucleotides) under Pan troglodytes (chimpanzee). RNAcentral's name for it is "long non-coding RNA NONPTRT011034". The record is from RNAcentral. Lineage: Eukaryota; Metazoa; Chordata; Mammalia; Primates; Hominidae.
GGCGUGGGGCAAGGUUUACCUUCACCUCGAAGAAGGCGGAUCCGAAGGUGGGCCACCGGCAGAUCCACUUCAGGAAGGCCACCUUGGCCUCCUCCACUGUCUUGUCCUUGUGCUUGUCAUAGGCUAGAAGGAUGCUCUGGGGGACAGGAGGGCCAGUAAGACUUGGGUGCCCAGAGGCCCUCCAAAGCCCUGGUCGGGGCAGCACCUGCCUACCCCAGGGCUAGUACGGUGGGGAGGGGAGGGGAGGAAUGCAGCAUGGGACAGUCUCGGUGCUGUGGAUGGCGUAGGAAGGCGUGGUGUGUGCAGAGCCAGCCCACCCUCCACACCACCCAUGUGCACCCAUGUGAUCUUGGAGCCCAGGCAGGGCAUGGCACUGGUGCAGGGGCCCAGGGAGGAGCAGCAGCACAAGAACCCUUCCCCAGCCCGACCAGGGACCUUUUUCCACUCCUCCGAGGACAUCAGGCGUGUGAGGUUCUCAGGCACCAGUUCCCUCAGGAUCUUGGGGACACUAGCCAGCUGGGACCGGUCGUUGUUGAACUGGGCCUUGUAGAUGAGGCCCGCCAGGUGGAUGGCAUCCUCCCGCGAACACUUGUGGAAUCCGCGCAGGGCCUGGUUGUUCCCACAACCC